Molecule: long non-coding RNA, 20853 nt
Filed under: Zea mays
Lineage: Eukaryota; Viridiplantae; Streptophyta; Magnoliopsida; Poales; Poaceae
Description: long non-coding RNA (ZMAY_LNC005080)
Source: RNAcentral
AGCCGUGCAAUACCCACCCCCAGCCUUCGACCCAACAGAUGACGUGCGGCCGCCGCGCUGCGGCCGCCGCGCCCCGCCCGCUCGCGGCGCAUGCCCCUUGCCCCGCGUGCGUCGUCUCCCGUCACACCACCCCCUCGACCGCCUCGACGUCGGCGCGAGGCUCCAGGCCAUCGGGGACGAAUCCGGGCCAGGGCUCCCGAGCAGGCCACGGUCUACGACGAUGCCUACGAUCCCUGGACCCUGGAUGACACCGACGUGUGAGGUCCUACCCUGCCCCCACCCGCGUGUGUCGUCUCCCCUUGUGAACUUGUGAUCUAUUUUGUUUAGAUACUCUAUGAUUUGAAUUUUCCCUCUUUUUUUGUUAUUUGUCUUCCUUAACUAUAAUGAUUGUGAUAAACUUUAUUGUUGUGGAAUUUCUCAUCUAUGUUACAAGAUAGAUAUUCACCACUUUGAGGUCUGAAAUAAAACAUAAUAGCACUCCUAGGCUCACUUUGAGGUCUUAAAUAAAACAUAAUAGCACUCUUACAUGAUUACCACAUAGCUAUUUACCACUUUGAGGUUUGCAGGUCUCAGGCUCACUUUGAGAGGCUAGCAGAUUUGCUUACUUCAGAUAUUUUGAAGCCUUGUACCAAGCCAUCAAGGAGUAGGGUUGCAUCGGUCUUACUGCCAAUGAUGAUCCAUACAAUGCUAAUGAAAUGAGCCCAAGUGACCAAAGACAAAACCAUGUUUCAACAUCGAGAAAAAAGCCUAUUUCCCUCCCAAAAAGUGACAUAUGUCCCAAAAACCAUGUCUCCACUUUUCCCUCUUAUUGGUUGAUGCCUGACAUAUGUCCUGUUCAAACACAGUUUAUCACAUUUUUCCAUGCACAAAAAAUUAUUUUUCAAGAAAGAGACUAAGAGAGAAUGACGAUGAUAUGAUCCCAAGUCUUAAUUCAUGGUUCACCUGUAGUUCAACAAAUGACAAUGCAACAACUAACAGAGGGACAAUGCAACAACAAUUAGUGGGAGCCAGUUUCUCAUCCUAAAUUAUGUUGAGCACUAUUGAAGAAAAACGAAAAGUAUCAUAGUAAUCUGUCUAAAGCCAAUAAUAUAGUAAAAAAUGACAGUAAAGAAAUAUGGAUAGUGAAACAAAAAAAUAUUAGCGUUAUACACCCUCCUCCUAAUUAUAAGUCGUUUUAGCUUUUCUAGAUACAUAAAGGACUUAUAGUUUGGGCUGCAACAGGAGAGUGUAUAGCAAAAAAUAUCAAUAUUGUGCAACACAUGUAGAUACAACAUUAGGAAUCUUAUAUAAACUGACCAACAAAUUGUAAGAUGCAAGACCAGAGCGAUCCAUGGACAAAUGAAGGAGAGUCAAAAUAUUGAAUUAAUAUGAGUUAGUCUCAUUUAAUAGAUCUUUGACGGACUAAAGACUAAAACAGUUUAGUCCCUGUUUUAUUGCAACUUAUUUGCCAAUUUAGCUACUAAAUAAAACUAAAAUGAAUGAAUUAAUUUUUAGUCCCUAAAACCAAACGGAACGUGGAAUACUGCUAUUAAGAUCUCCAUCAUGAUCGUGACAAAGGUAAGAGCUGUGGUUGAGAAGAGCUUGAACUUUGUCGUGGUUCAGUUUGAUUUUUAACUUUUUCGUGCAGAAUACUCGAGUGGAGCCGUGAGGGUGGGGUGGGCUCUGAGAAAGGCAGAACUCCAGAGGGCAAAAGUGACAUUUCGCAUGGGGUUGUGUGGUCCGUAUCCUUGACCAUGGCUUCAACGUUUGUCGUCUCGUACACUUUCCCCUCUCUCCGGGGGCGGCGGGCACCGCAUUGACGGACCUCACCCUGUUGUGCUGCCCCGAUCACCUCGUCGACUGCACGGCCCCCUUUUGCCACCGGCGUUUGUCACUCAACACAUCUAACAAUCCCAACACCCGUUCCACAAUUCCACCGUCAUCAUCGAAGAAGUUCCCCGAAGCCACAGGGCUAAGCCCUCGUCCAACGGCAAAGGUGUCUCUCCGACGAGAGAUUCCGGUCUGGAGCUGAGCAAGUCGCCUCCGCCGCCGCCCGCUCCAUGGUGGACUAAUCCUUCGGUGCCGGCGACCGGAGACCAUAGCUGGCUGAUCCUCGACCGCAUCGUCCACCGCAGUCGGAAGCAGUGUGGGGACGCUACGACCUCGGUGCUCGCCCACGAGUGCGUCGGCUGGCCGAUCCGUGCCUCCCUCCGGAUCGCGGACCCCCCCGCGGUGUCCCGUCUCUACGUCCACUGGACCAGCAUUCCAGCCAUUGACCACCACGACUCCAUUCUAUUCCGGGUGUCUGUCCCCUUCGACGAUCCCACUUUCUGAAGCCAAAUUGUCUACUUUCCUGAUGACUACUUUGUCUACUCGUGCUCCUCGUCGCCGUCGUCCCUUACUAGGCUUCCCCCUUGCUUCACCCGGGUUCCCCCUUGCUUCGGCGGUGGACGCACCGACCCUGAGUUGGAUAAGUGGUUACAACCGCACCGGCGCCAGCAACAACGGACCAUGAUUGAAGAAGACAUGGGCAUCCUCUGCCAUGGAGACAAGGGUGAAUUCACGGUGGCAGAUCUCACAUAUCGUUUCAACCAGGAGAUCAAACUCUGCUUGCUACAUCAUCCACUUUUGCCUCUGAUGCUGAAAUGAAAUGGAGUGUUGAGAAGCUACAGAUCCCUGCCGACAUGAAGAUCAACCUCUACUCGUUUAAGACUGAUGUCGUCAUCACCAUCGGCGAGAGGUGCUUGUGCUGGGUUGACUACUACCAUGGUAUGUUGCUCAUUGAUGUCCUCACUGACAGCAACAGCAACAGCAGGCUCCGUUAUAUACCACUCACAUCUAAGGCUUUGAAGACUGAUCGUGUGUACAAGGACGGUAAACCUGAUCCGUUUCGGCGUCUCAGUGUCUGUGAUGGUGGUAUCAUUAAGCUAGUCUGCAUUAUUACUAAAAAGCACUCUUCUCCUUAUCCCUUCACCAUAGCAACAUGGACUUUGGUUGAUAUCUACCAAGGUAGAUGGGAGAAGGAUGUCAACUUGACCAUGGGAGCCAGCGAGUUCUUCAAUCUUUAAGACGACGCUGCCAAGAGUUGCCUCCCACGAGCAAAGUAACUAUUUUAAGAAUGAAUAUGCCAAAUUCAACUGGUUGUGCAAAGUGCUGCAUGCAAAAAACAAUGGCAUAGAUAAACUAAAUACAUGAGGAGAUGCAGUGAUACCUUUUGAUGGCGUCUUCACUCAAGUAAGAGAACUUGUUGGCAAUGAAGUCAUGAAAAAUGAAAUAGUUCUUGCAGUCCCUUUUAGGAGGGUAUCCUUCUUCUUCGUUGAUAUAGAUGGAACUUAACAGUAGCAACUUAUUUCGCAUGUUGACUUGAACCAUCCAGAAAGGAUCGCGGAACUUGUCCUCGAGGAGGAAGCAAAUGACAUCUGGAUCAACCAAGCUCACCACAGGAAAACUUGGCCUCACUCGUGGGAGGCAACUCUUGGCAGCGUCGUCGUAAAGAUUGAAUAACUCGCUGGCUCCCAUGGUCAAGUUGACAUCCUUCUCCCAUCUACCUUGGUGGAUAUCAACCAAAGUCCAUGUUGCUAUGGUGAAGGGAUAAAAAAGAAGGGUGUUCUUUAGUAAUAAUGCAGACGAGCUUAAUGAUGCCACCAUCACAGACACUGAGACGUCGAAACGGAUCUGGUUCACCGUCCUUGUACACACGGCCAGUCUUUAAAGCCUUAGAUGGAAGUGGUAUAUUACGGAGCCUGUUGUUGCUGUCAGUGAGGACAUCAAUCAGCAGCAUAUCAUGGUAGUAGUCAACCUAGCACAAGAACCUCUCGCCGAUGAUGACGACGGCAUCAGUCUUAAACGAGUAGAGGUUGAUCUUCAUGUUAGGAGGGAUCUGCAGCUUCUCAACACUCCAUUUCAUUUCAGCAUCAGAUGCAGAAGGGGGAUGGUGCAACAAGCAGAGUUGGACCUCUUGGUUGAAACGGUAUGUGAGAUUUGCCACCGUGAAUUCACCCUUGUCUCCAUGGCAGAGGAUUUCCAUGUCUUCUUCAAUCAUGGUCCGCUGUUGCUGGCGCCGGUGCGGUUGUAACCACUUAUCGAACUCGGGGUCGGUGCGUCCACCGCCGAAGCAAAGGGGAACCCGGGUGAAGCAAGUGGGAAGCCUAGUAAGGGACGGCAGCGACAAGGAGCACGAGUAGACAAAGUAGUCAUCAGGAAAGUAGACCGUUUGGCUCUAGAAACAGGGAUCGUCGAAGAGGACAGACACCCGGAAUAGAAUGGAGUUGUGGUGGGCGGCGAUGGCAACAGGCUCCUUCAUGCAGUCAAUGGCUGCAAUACUGGUCCAGUGGACGUAGAGACGGGACACCGCGGGGGGUCCGCAAUCCGGAGGGAGGCACGGAUCGGCCGGCCGACGCACUCGUGGGCGAGCGCCGAGGUCGUAGCGUCCCCGCACCACUUCCGACUGCGGUGGACGAUGCGGUCGAGGAUCAGCCAACUAUGGUCUCCGAUCGCCGACACCGAAGGAUCAGUCCACCAUGGAGCCGAUGGCGGAGGAGGCGACUUGCUCAGCUCCAGACCGGAAUGCCUCGUCGGAGAGACACCUUUGUCGUUGGGCGAGGGCUUAGCUCUGCAGCUUCGGGAACCUCCUUCGAUGAUGGCGUGGAAUUGUGGAACGGAUGUUGGGAUUGUUAGAUGUGUUGAGUGGCAAACGUCGGUGGCAAAAGAGGUCAUGCAGUCGACGGGGUGAUCAGGUCAGCACGGCAGGGUGGGGUCCAUCAAUGCGGUGUCCGCCGCCCCCGGAGAGAGGGGAAAGUGCACGAGACGACAAACACUGAAGCCACGGUCAAGGAUACGGACCACACAUCCCCAUGCGAAAUGCCACUUUUGCCCUCUGGAGUUCUGCCUUUCUCAGAGCCCACCCCACCCCCAUGGCCUCACUCGAGUAUUCUGCACGAAAAAGUUAAAAAACAAACUGCACCACGGCAAAGUUCAAGCUCUUUUCAACCAUAGCUCCGGCCCUUGUCACGAUCAUGAUGGAGAUCUUAAUAGCAGUAUUUCACGUUCUGUUUGGUUUUAGGGACUAAAAAUUAAUUCAUUCAUUUUAGUUUUAUUUAGUAGCUAAAUUGGCAAAUAGGUUGCAAUAAAACAGGGACUAAACUAUUUUAGUCUUUAGUCCUUCAAAGAGUGAUUAAAUGAAACUAACUCAUAUUAAUUCCAUAUUUUGCCUCUCCUUCAUUUGUCCAUGGAUCACUCUGGUCUUGCAUCUUACAAUCUGUUGGUCAGUUUAUAUAAGAUUCCUAAUGUUGUAUCUACAUGUGUUGCACAAUAUUGAUAUUUUUUGCUAUGCACUCUCAUGUUCCAGUCCAAACUAUAAGUCCUUUAUGUAUCUAAAAAAGCUAAAACGACUUAUAAUUAGAAGGAGGGUGUAUAACACUAACAUUUUCUUGUUUCACUAUCCAUAUUUCUUUACUGUCAUUUUUUACUGUGUAAUUGGCUUUAAACAGAUUACCAUGACACUUAUCGUUUUUCUCUAACAGUGCUCAGCAGAAUUUAGGAUGAGAAACUGGCUCCCACUAAUAGUUGUUGCAUUGUCCCCCUGUUAGUUGUUGCAUUGUCAUUUGUUCAACUACAAGUGAACCAUGAAAUUAAAAAGAUGUUCUGUUGGUCAGGCCUGAAAACUGAUGUGGAAUUAUUUGUGAAACAAUGUGCGGUUUGUCAGCAAGCCAAAAGUCCCAAGCAGUAUCCUUCUGGGUUACUUCACCCAUUGCCUGUGCCAGCAGGAGCUUGGCAAGACUUAACUAUGGAUUUUAUUGAGAAGUUACCCCGGUCAGAAGGAUAUGAUACUAUUUUGGUGGUGGUAGAUCGAUUCACCAAGUAUGCUCACUUCUUUCCCUUAAAGCACCCUUUCACUGCUCAGGGAGUGGCCCAAAUCAUGGUAGAUUCAGUAAUCAAGCUGCAUGGGGUGCCCAAAACAGUGGUAUCUGAUAGGGACAAGAUUUUUACAAGUGUUUUUUGGGAACAUUUGUUCAAGCUCUUGGAUAUUAAGCUUGCUUUAAGCACAACCUAUCACCCUCAGACAGAUGGGCAGAGUGAGCGAGUUAAUCAGUGUUUGGAGAUGUAUCUCAGAUGUGCUGUCCACUCCAACCCUCAGAAAUGGAAGUCUUGGCUAUCUUUAGCCGAAUUGUGGUAUAAUACCACUUUCCACUCAUCAUUGGGUUGUUCACCUUUCCAGGCCCUUUAUGGCUAUGAAGCAUUUGUUCUUGGCAUUCCUUUAGUCACAGGGCAGGAGGAUAAGGGAGCUGUCCAGUUUGUCCAGCACAGAGCUGAGCAUAUUGAGAUGUUGAAGGCCAAUUUGGCUAGAGCUCAACAGAGGUAUAAACAUUUUGCAGAUAAGAAGAGGGUUCCCAGGGAGUUUCAGGUCGGGGAACAUGUUUUGCUCAAGCUCCAGCCUUAUGCUCAAAAUUCUAUGGUCAAUAGACCUUGUCCCGAAUUCGCAUUCAAGUAUUUUGGGCCUUACACAGUGACUGAGAAAAUUGGGCCAGCUGCUUAUCGUUUGGCUCUUCCACCAGAAGCUCAGAUCCACCCUGUCUUCCAUGUUUCCCAACUCAAACCAUUUGUUCCAAAUUAUACUCCCGGUCUUUGAUACUCUUCCUCAACCAAUGGAUUUGGACAGGGGACCUCUGGCUACGGUAGAGAUCCUGGAUCGCAGUAUGGUCAAGAAAGGCAACGCGGCUACGGUCCAAGUGUUACUCAGAUGGUCUAGGUUACCAUCAUCAUGUGCUACUUGGGAGGAUUUUACUGUGGCCAAGAACAGAUUUUCAAAGGCCCUUGCUUGGGGUCAAGCAAGCUCUCAAGGGGGGCGGAUUGUCACAACCCUACCAAGAAUGCAUAGAUUCAGACAAGGUAACAAGAGGGCAAGAAGGAGGAUAGAGGGGAUAGAGUAAUACAGCUGUAAGCUGCUGGCAUCUAGCUAUAAUAACUGAUUAGAUCUGUCAUCUAGCUGUUAAUCCAGCUGUAAUAACUGAUUAGCAGUUAGAGUCACUUGGUGCUGCUAUAAAUCUGAGCAUUUGUAAUGGAGAAGACAUGAAAUGAAAUAAAACAGAAAUCAAGCUCCACCACAUACCUGUGUGAUUUAGCGUUCUUGUUUGAUUCGGCUAAAGGGGAGACCUCACGUCGGAUGAACCCUAGGGAGAGGGAAAGCCAUACCUGGGCACAGAUUCAAGGGUGGACGAAACCCUAGACCAGGGUUCCUCACAGGGAGAUCAGGAGAUGGCCACUGGGCUGACGCUUGCGGAGAUGGUGCUUGGGGAGAUGGCCGCUGGGCGCCUGGGGAGAUCCGGAGAUGGCCGCUGGGCGCCUGCCUGGGCGUGCGCGCCAGCGCGGUGCGCAUCGUGGGCGUGGGCGCGUGGCCCGACAGGCAGGGCCGCUGGCCGCUGGCCGCUGGCCGCUGGGCGUGCGCGAGCGCGCCUGGGGAGAUGGCCGCUCGCCGCUGGGCGCCUGGGGAGAUGGCCGCUGCCCGCUGGGCGCCUGGGCGGCCGCAGCGGUGCGCAUCGUGGCGUGGGCUAGUGGUGGCUGGCGGAGACCGGAGAAGACGAAUGGAUGGGCAGGAUGGCGGCGGCCGACGCCUCGGGAGUCGAGGAGAAAAUUGGAGACGGAAGAGGUGGGAACCCUAAACGGCUACAACUAAUUAAAUGGAGGCCGAGUUUUAGUUUUAAGUAGUGGUGCUUUAAGUAUAUUAGAGAUUAGAGAUAUAUAUUAUAUAGUUACAAAGAAAAAGAUAAAUAUAUUAAAAGUCCUUCUAUUUAUUGUGCCGAGUUUUAGUUUUAAGUUUUGGGUCUAAGUUUUGAAUACCAAUCUCCUAUUGUAAUUAUUCAUUCCCUUUAGAGAGGUAUACUUUACAAAGGAAUAAAAUCAUUAUUAGAAGUCAUUUUAUCUCAAAUCAUUUGAAGAAUUCUUUAAAUCACCAAAAUGAGAUUUUGGGUUUAUCUCUACUAACUAUUAAGUGAUUAGUGUAGACUGCCCCCGCUCCCGGCUCCACCCGCCCGCCCGACCGACCUUCGGAAACCUCGCCGCGCUUCCAACCGCCUCCUCAAACAACGCCGGGAACGCCGCAAACCCCGCCGCACGCAGCUCCUCUGUCGCCUCCACCGCACACAGCAUGCGCGCUCCUUCCCCGCUCUGUUCUCGUCCCCGCGUCGCUCAGAUCAGCUCUGGCUCCUCGCCACGCGCGCCCUCGGACCUCGACCCAUGGCGCGUCGAUCUGCCCGCGGCCCCGAGACCCUGCCCCGGCUCCCGACUCCUCUCCCUUCCCUACAUCGUGCUUCCACAAUAUCGCGCGCGGGGCCACGACAACGUCGUCAUCGCGGUGCCACACCAUCGCCGCGGGCCCCAACAUCGCCACAUCGUCGCCUCCGCUUUCCCGGUGUCGAUCGUGGUCGCCACCUCUACCAACAAAUGCCUCCAUUGCGUCGAGCUCUCAGCAUGGUCGCGCCAUGAAUUCCUCAACUCGCCAUGGGUCCGCGUGCGGGAGCUCCUCAACCAACUCUGCCAUCCCACCGCCCCCAUUGCGAUCCGCCAACCCAGCUCGAUCCCACGCGCCCCCCUUAAAAGCGGCGGCGCACACCCGUGUCUCCCUCACGCCCAACCACCCCCACCCUCGCCCUAGCCCCGAACCCUCCUGGCGGCGGCCCCGCACGUGCAGGCGCGCGACAUCCUAUCAGGAGGCGAGGGGGCUCUGAUGACCACCAGUGCCAACCUGAUGAACCAUCCGCCUCACCGCCUCGCUCCCCGUCAUGAAUAGGGUUCUGUCAUAUAUGUGCUCGAUUGGUCCAGGAACUCUGAGUCCCGCUUCCAGUUCAUUGUCAUGAAUACGCGCAACACUGGUACAUCGGCGAUCACUGCUCGGAUCGGUCACCCGCGGCGCCUAGACAGGAAUUCAAAUCACUACGCUAUUGUUGCAGAUGCCUUACAAUCUCUUUUGGUAAUGUGGAUUCUAUUUUCAUCCAUCUGUUUCUUAUUUAUUUCUUGUUAUAUAGGCUUGAUUAGCAUCCAGAUUCAGCGUUUGGCAUGGCAUGACUAUUCCUUAAAUAUUGCAAAUGGUCAUCUUCUUCGAAAUAUAAAAAGAAUGGUACCAUUUGUACCUACGGUAUUCGCCAUUGCUUUGACUGAAAACAAAAGUCUAUUUGUGUUAUGCGCUCAAACAUAUGUACACAAUAGACGUGCAUUACAUGUUCUAUAUAUCAGAUGCAUAUAAACUACUCCAUUUGUUUCUGCAGCUUGCCGAUUCAAAUUCCAAGGAUAUGAAGAGCAAGACAAAGGAGUGAAAUGACUUAAUCAAGCCAGACAUAGUAAGUUUUUGUGUUCACUGGUUGGAUAUCCGCUUUUGGCGCGUGUUCGAAUGUUUGCAUCUUUUGGACGGUAUGUAUGAGCCUCGUCUUCCGAACUUCGAUGACAGCAAGGUCAGGUUGGAUAUCUGCUUUUGGUGUUUGCAUCUUUUGGAUGUCUGUGGACGCAUCAUGCAUGUAGGGCUUUACCCCGUUAUCGAAAGAGAUUGUAACCCCUUGAGUUGUGAUACUUGACAUCUACGAGUAGUUGCUUAAUGUACUUUUAAACAUUCUAUUCAGUUUGGAUGUUCCUUGUCUUGCUACUUCACAGCUUGCCAAGUCAGUAAUCUUAGGAUUCAUGUUUGGCUUGCUCUUUGGUCUUUGCUGUCGUUCCUGUAAAUAAAUAUUGGCGUUUAAUUUGGCCUUCUCUUACGUCGUUUAUGGGAUGAUGGGGUGCCGUUUCGAGUUGGCAAUAAUAGAUCUGUUGUUCAUCCAAACUCAGUUGGUUUUGUUUUGUAUUUGUUCCGAAUCAUGUUGGUACAGUUAGCAUGUGAAUGGACAAGCCAUUAGCCACGGUCUAUUUUUUUUGUUUGUUUGUUUGAAAAUGCCAUGUUUUUUGGUUUGCUUGAAAAUUGAAAUGAAAGCUAAAAGUUUUACCAUCUCUAUUUUAUACCACUUUCGUUCUCAAAUAUUUAUCGCUUCAUUUUUUAACUAAAUCGCGACAAAUAAAAUAAAAAAGAUGACAGAGUAUAUAAGGCUGGCUCUAGCAUAGACCACUAAACAGUCACGUCCGCUGAAUUUAGCGGACGGCAACGUACGUCCAACAAGGUACUCUAUACGAUACGCUAUAAUUUAGUGGUGGUGUCGGACACGGUAAAUGUGGCAGACUUCUAUCGUCUGCUAUCACCACCGUCGAGGCUGAUCAUUCGCUCCCGCGCGCGGCUCGGAACCUUCAACGCAUUGUCGGUUUUCCGUCCUCACUGUUCAACUCGGCAAGCUCUGGUGGUCCUGCUCCCCGUCGCAGAGGGUGCUGGUGCGAGAGGGACGGGAGCUGGUGGCAGAGCUCGGUACUCCUACACGCAGGGAUGGGUGACGAGCACAUGCGGCAUCAUCACUGUCAAGAUCAACAUCCCCACUGGAUAUUUGUUUUUAUUAUUAUUAUAUGUUCGUAGUGAAAAAUGUUAAUUACUUUUUUGAAUUAGGUACGUGAGCUCGAAUUCAAAUUACAUGAAAAAUAGAGAAUAAAUAUUGUAGGUAAUAGAUUCUAUUAACACUGUAGAUAUAGAGGAUCGAUUUUAGAGGACGUUGUUGGAGAUGAAGAAAAUAUAGAGGACGAAUUUUUUAGAGGAUGCUGUAAAUGAUAAAGAAUAUUACUUUAAAGGACGAAAUUUAGGAGACGUUGCUGGAGACAGCCUAAUACUAGAGCAAAAGGCGCCCUUACGGCCCCCCUAUCUGGUAUCAUACUAUUUAGAAAAUAAGAUAUCACAACCAAAAGUCUCCUAUCAAGCCUACACUGAUAGCAAUGCAAAGCACUCGCUCUGCCAUCAUUUUCUACUGGAUAUUUCUCGCUCACGUCAGCGCUUCGAUUUUCUCAAUGCACCUCAGGUGCAUCCACACCACGGGCAUUUUGCUCCACUUUGAUCACCUACAGUUACAAAGAGCAAAAAGAAACAAAAUUCAGUGGUCUAAGAUAUAAACUACAGACUGCAAGUUCAUAACCUGCUAUGCAUCAUACAAAAAGAUAUUACCUCCGUUCUUAAAUAUUUAUCAUCCGCUAGUUCAUUUUUGAACUAAACCGUGAUAAAUAAAAAAAGAACAAAAGAAAUAUAUUGUUGCACAUAUUAAAAACAUAGUAGCAUUCAAACCAUACAAGUUCAUCAUGAAUAAACAGAACAAACUGCAUCAGAGCACUACCAACCAGACACGGUCUAUCUCAGAUUCUAGCGUUCCAUGCCAAAAUACCUUCAUCCGAUAGCUGUUUUCAAGAACUUUCAGUUGCUCUAGAUCCUCUUCCAUUUGUAAUGGUUGGACUAUUGGUGGAAGUUCUAGAUAGAUCUUCAAAAAUCUUGAAUGAAAGCCCUGUGUGAGAGAGAGCAGUUAGUCAAUUAAUUAGCCAAAUGAAAGUCGGUUAAUCAAAGGACCAUGUAUCAAAUAUAAAUAAAUAAGCAUAAGCUUGAUAAGGUAUGCGAUUCCAAGAUGAAGAAGAUAUGGAUUUUUUGGAUUGACGUUCCCUGAUCUGAAAUGGUCAGGGCCAGAAGAUUUUCAUGUGAAAAAAUACAGUCAAUAUAAGAGUUAAAUAGCUAUUUGUGCCUCACUUAUUGAAUGGAAUCAGCCCUCUUAAAAAAUAUCACGUAGCCCAGAUUAUCCACAACACACUUCACUCUAUUCGUAUCGAAUGCAUCUUCUAGUUUCAGUGAAGUAACAGCUGUGCUGAAAACUGCAGUACUGAAUAUAAUACCAGAGUUCAUUUCUUGAAUGCGAAUAACUAUGAAAAUCGAAUAACUAUGAAAAUAUUAAUUAUUUACAUCUAAAACAUUGGUUUUGUAUGUGUAAGCAGUCAUUAACAUUCAUGAUAGAUCAAGAAAAAACAUACAGACUCAGCCUACCAGCCAGCUCCAAUGGAAAUAUCAACAGGUUCAUAGCCUCUGCAGUCAAACACCAUCAAACAAGUCUUCGUUUCUUUCUAGCUCUGCUCAAUAGUACUACCUCCAUUUUUAUUUAUUUGACGCUACUUAAUUCAAUUUUGUACUAACCGGCAACAAAUAAAAACAAGCGGAGGGAGUAAGUGGCAUCCACUGACCAUGAAUCAUCACAAUUGUUCCAUCUCUCCCACAAAGCUUGCACUGAGAGAAGACGACAGCUUACAUGGUUCAACAAAAUAUACAGUCGACACGCUAAAGAACCGAUAAUGCAAAAACCAUCACCCUGCCAAUGAUCACAAUACAAGAAAUCAUAUUAACAAAAAAGCAAUCACAUUGCUUGUGAAUCAUAAAGCAUAUAUUUUCCUAGGUAACCUAGUUUGCAAAAUAGCAUGACCCUUGAGAAGGAACAAAUGAACAAUCCUCUGUUGUUGUCCUUUUACAAAAAUAUGCCUCCUGUCCACCCAAUUUUAAUCAUGAAUCAGUACCCCUCACAGAAUCCAACCCAACCUACUAAGCAAAUAACAUAAAAGAAGGAAAUUCAGAAGACUAAAGGAAUCUCAAUUAACCACGUCAUGAGUCAUCUCAUUUGCUGUCCUCAUAUCAUGUAGUACCAAAAUACGAAAAUGAAUGCAUUUUAAAAAUUGAAGAAGGCAUAGUAGGAGCAGCUAACAUCAGUGUCGAAAAAUCAAGUGACAUCAGUAAAAUCAAUUGCAUUCCUCAACUGAAUGUAGAUAAAGACACAUAGACCAAAUUAUUGGUGUUCAGAGAAAUCUAACAGAAAGCAAAUGCUCUCAAACAUCUAAAAGUCAAUAAAACAUAAUAUCAGUGGUCACUGCACAGUAUUAUGCACAUACAGGAAGCGAGAUCUUACAUCUACCACCGUCUUAUCAAUUUCACAUAUGCCAAUCUGCUCCACAGAGAUAUGUCGUGAAACCUAACACAGAACACCACCGUUCCCCUCCAAUAACCAACACAUGUGUAUCAUGAAACAAUUGAACGUUACAUCCAAUAAAUUUUAGAUAAUAUACAUAUUCAUCUGUGUACAUAUUCAUCAUUUUGAAAACUACAAAUACCAAAAAAUUCACCUAAUUAAUGAACCUGGCAGUACGACUGCAUCCUAACAAUUUUUUACUGCAGACUUCUCCAGGCAUUACAAGUUCAAACAAAUUACAAGACAAAAUUAUAUGAAGUAACCAAUGACAUAUUCUUAAAGAUGGUUUAAUUGAUGCAAAUAGCAUCAGAGCACACCUUUUAGUGCUAAAUGUACCAAAACAUGUAUGAUAAUAUCGUUAGCUAUGAUGCUAGCACGCAUUUCAUUUUUUGUCAACAAUAAUAUUGUAAGCGGCCAAUUGCAGUUUCGAUUCGAAUUUUUGGCAUCAAAAUAAAUAAAGCGUGCAUUCUACUUUUUUUUUGUUACCAACGCCAUCGCACCAGGCUUACCACCGGGAAAAAAAAUCUAUACAUACCGCAUGUGAACACCACCUUUUACAGCCCCUCACAUGCACCACUUAAAGGCCCACAAAGACAGAUCAAAAUUUACAAAAUAAUCUUUUAGUAAUUUAUUUUUUUCUUCUAUUUAUAUAUACCAGCAGCUGGUGUAUGUGAGGGGCUGUAAAAGAGAUUCUUUACAUCCCAGAUGUAAAGAAUUUUUUUUCCUACCAAUAGGCAAAACCCACAUUAGUAGUGAACUGGAACAACAAAGAGCAGUCCAUCAAAGAAGAGAGAUGGAAGGGACAUCAUACCUUCAAGCUUCCACGAAGGCAUCGUAGCAGCGAGACGGGACGCGAGGUCAGCGACGACAUGGGGGUUAGGUCGUUGCGGCUGCGUCGCGCGUGGCCACGUAGGUGAGGAGGGAGUCAUACCGCGGGCGGGAUCCGCAGCGGCAUGGUGAGGAUGGCGGCUAGGAGAAUGUACGCCGCGCAGACGAGAGAAUGUCAGUGUCAGGGCCGUUCCUGACUUUUCAAGGCCUUGAACGAAAUCCGAUAUGGAGGGUCCAUCCACACACAAAUAUAUAUAAUUAUACAUACAGUAUCGAAUAUUUAACAUAUAAAAAUUAUUAUGCUCUGUUUUGAUGCUUAUAAGAUAACAAAUGUAAAAUAUAGCUAAAAGCACUUACUUCUUAUUUGAUAUCAUUAAAAAUAUCUUCUAACAUUUUGUGAUACAAAGUCAUCGCUUAUAUCAUUGAGAUCAAUUUCAUCCAACAACUUUUUUUCGAUAUAUAGAAUCGUCAAGCCGUUUAACCUCUCUUAAGUUAUUGUUGACCAUAAAUAGUUCACAAAAAUAUUUCAAUUUUAAAAAGCUUCUCUCUGCCGAUGCAACCAUCAUGUGUAUAGUAAAUAAUACUCUCUCUAUAUCAAAAUAAAAUUUGUUUUGCUUCUUUAGUGGAUUCAUCAUCAUCUAGUUGAAUAUAAACAUAAAAAAUCAAGAGCUAAAACAAAUACUAUUUUUUAUCGGAUGGAGUAUUCGAUAAGCAAUUGAGACAUUAGUUUAACAAUCUAAAUGAGACUAGUUGAUAGCGCAUCGCUCUUUGCGUAUUUGUGUCUAGAAUAGAUAGGUUUAACAGGAAAAAAGUGUUAGCGUCUAGUGGCUAGGGGACCCUCUGAUUUUGGGGGCCUGGUGCGGCCGCACCCUUGGCACCCCCACAGGUACGGCCCUGGUCAGACAUACUGCCAUGGUCACCACAUAGGUUGGCAAGUGGGGAGGCAACUGGAGGUCAAUACAAGGCGAUGAAGCUGUUAGCAAGCAAUCAUAAGUGGAAAGGGAUGAACAAGACAACAGAAACAGACGCGGCAGAAGAGAAGGCUUAAGCGCAGUCGAGGAGAUCAAAGUGCGCCAGCCCCUGGCCAAAUAUAAAUGUGGUUGGGCCACGUUGGGCCAUGUAAUAUGGGCCUCAAUACUGAUACACUUGUGUGACCGCGUCCAUAUAUAAAUGGCGUGUAUCUGUACAGGAGAGGGUAUCGAAGAACAAAAAUAACAAUUCUAUUAUCGCCUUCCCUGCUAUCUUCUUCUUCCCCAUGUCAUAUCUUCCCGUUCUCCACACCUCUAGCGACUGUUAGUUCGUGCCCUAGCCGACAGAGUUGCUAACAGAGAAGAGGGGUGAGGUCUGUCAAGAAUGCCGCCAUGUCAAGUCGGAUUCCGCGCCGCCAUGGAGACAAACGGGGAGGGGUCACGGAAACUGCGGUGGCGCGAGGAGUAGCAUGCUUCGGGGCGACGACACGAGAAGGAGAGAGGAGUAUGUUAGGACACCCGAAGGAGAGACUACUAGGGAAUGGCAGGUGACACAGACGCCUCAGCUGAGAGAUCGAGAACCUCGAAGAAGAGAGGAGUAGGAGAAACAACAGUACCAUGCGUGCCGAUCCGAGCAGGGAGAGGGGCAGCGCGGAGAGGAAGAUGGCGGGAUGGGGCCGACGUUUGCUGCGGUGGUGCGGGGAGGAAUAGUAUGCGGAAGGGGGCGGUAGAACUUCUCAAAGGAUGCAAAUGCACUAGAACUUCUCAAUCACUCACUAGAAUGCGAUCUCAAGCAACAAGUAUGAGAGUUUGAGUUAGAGGAUCACAAAUGAGCUCAAUGUAUGCUAGGAGUGGUCAAGAGAGCCCUCACACACAAGCUCCAUUUCUAUUUAUAGCCCACAACUCAAACCUAGUCAUUAUGUGCAAAUAGCACAACUUCUGCGCACACAUGGACGGUCCACGCCCCAUGGCCGGACGGUCCAUCGUACCAGUAACGGCUAUAAAGACCGUUGAAACCUGUCAGUGCUGUCAGAAAAAGUCAAGCCUGGACGAUCCACCCUCCUGGGCCGGACGGUCCGGGACCUGUCAACAUGGAAUAUCAUAGCACUCGUCAGUUAAAACAAUCCGAGCGGAGUGUCCGCCAUUUUAUGGCCGGACGGUCUGCACAUGGACCACUUACCGUCCGGCUAAAAACCCCGGACAGUCCAUAGUGCAAGGACUCAAAAACACACUUUCCCUGCCCAAACUCAAUUCAGUUUAUGCGGACGGUCCAGCCUCCUGGCUUGGAUGGUAGCGAAGGGAGACAGAGACAAGGCGCCAGCAGACUUCUCUGACAGAGUCGCGGACGAGCUGGCCUCCUGGCUCGGACGUUCUACCAACCACAGAGUUGAUAUUUUUGCGCUUUUUCAAAAGAUUUUGUAUUUUAAAAAACGAAGCGUUGUUAGCCCUCAUGUAAAUGCAACCGUUUAUAUUAUACGAGGCACUAAGUUUUACACCGAUCAAGUUCAUUGACCCCUCUUAAUAGUACGACCGUCUACCCUAUUAAUCCGGUCAAUUUCUUCUCUAAACACCUGCUGACCGGCAAAAAACAAAACCUAUAUUUUUCCUUUGUCUUCUUCACUUGAUCGAUUAGUUUCAUCCAAUUUUCACACUAUUAAACGAUUGUGCUUGAGACUGAUUCAAUUUUUCUUUAGUUGAUCUAGUUGACAAAUUAUUAGCGGCUCCAUUCUGGACACUGAAACCAUGAUAUUAUGAACUAUGUAAUCCAGCAUUGAAUUUCCAAAAAUGGUAUCUAGAAUAAAAGGAGACUUUUCUGUACCUCUGGCAAAAAUAAUAGGUGACGCGGCUCUCAUAGGAAAUAAAUAUUUGACAUAAAGAGGAAGAGGCUCAAUGGGACACCCACAUGGAGUUUCUUUGCACUCUAAUGACAGGCCAAAUAUGAACGACAAAAAAAUGUCAAAGACAAGAAAAUAUAGGAAAGAAAUAUUUGACAUAAAAAGGAAGAGGCUCAAUGGGACACCCACGUGCAGUUUCUUGCCUACAUGUAUAGAUUAGUAGACUGUAGUAAAUGGUCCUUGAUGUCUGGUCAUUUCUAAGGAUAAAUUCUAAUCAUAUUUAACAGCAGUUGUGAAAUUCUUUAGCUUGUAAGUUCCCUUAACGACUGACAAACAUGCAUAUUAUUAUGAAGAGUACCGUAUUAGAACGGCGUAUUCAUUGAAUACAACAAGAAAAACUGAGAACUCUAGGAAUAAAUAAUACUCAUUAUUAUAAAUAAAAAUAAUUACAUCGUGAUACUAAUCUGCACAAGUGUGUUCCGAUUCCAUCUAUAAGAGACAUUUUUAAAGGAACUGAGCAUCAAUUCUGCAACUAACAGUAAAGUUUCUUUGAGUCUAGGUUGGGGAUCAAACAAUCACCUAUAAGAAAGGAUGUGGCGGAAAACUUAUGAUGCUGACAAUCCUUAGAAACCAAGUAGAUUCUAAAGAAAAGUUGCUUCUGCUGCUUCUCAUCUGAAGAGCUUGUUUCAAGUGUUGGUAGCUGGACUACUGGGUAACCAAAAGAAACCUGAGGGUUACCAAGCUCUCACCUAAUCUUUCUCUAGAAUUGCGCAUCUCGACAAGGGCCUUCACUAACUGAUGGGAAAGCAUGAUUCGGUAAUUUAGGCCCCCGAGCCAGAUGAUUUGACUGUAAUGAAAGGCAAAACAAAGGAACCAAUGUCACACCAAAUGCAUAUGGAGUAAACUUCAUGAAUCCGUUGUAAGGUUCUUUGCUUACUCGUGUCCUAUGAUUGUUUCUAGUGAACGCUCAUACUGCACAUAGACCAUUAGAAACCUGGUAUUCAUGAGGAUUUCUAGCACAUCGGAGUUCCUAUGCAACUCAUCACCUUCCUUGUCUUGAAGUCAGGUGGCUGCAGACGAAGCAUAAACUUGUUUGGUGCAAUGACAUGCAAAUCGAAUUGAACCCUGGAAAACAAAUCCUUUACUAUUGAAUAUUUAAGCUAACAAGAUUUCAUGUUUGUGCUCAAAGUAUAUAUGAUAAAGUGGAAAAGCAACAAAAAAAACACUAUGACUAACCUCAUGACGAGGUCAGAGAAGGCUCCCGAGCUGAACCCCUCGACCUGGACAUGGUCACAGAGCACGGUUGCAGUCCCUCGGUCGGAGCUCCGAUUACCAAUGACUAUCUGGGUACAUGACAAUCACCAUAGGACCUAGGAAGAAGCAUAGCGUUAUCCUGCAAGAAGCACACCAUGGCCAUCAAAUGCAGCACGGACAACACCUCAUACCAAGGAUCUGCCAAUGCCAUGGAUGUCUCCUGCACUCUAGUCAUGUAGUACUCUUAAAACAUUCAGAAGAACUUGCAUAGGUGCAUAUACAAGGGGACUCAAUUCUCACCUCAGCCACAUCUUCUUGGUUAGCCCGUACAAACUGCUGCAAUAUUGAUGUCCGAAUCAUGAUAAAUUAUCAGGAAAGCAAUUUUUUAGUGUAAACAGCAACAGUAGGGACAUUUCGCACGUAUAAUCACCUUCCACCAGUUCUAGCAGAGCCUGGAUAGAGGAGAUUAGCAGUGCUAGACCCUCUUGCAGAUCAAAGGCCACAAACAAAGCAAGAAUUCUGUUAUUCACAUUUAGUAUGAAUAACCACGGCAGGGUUCAUAUGCUACAACAACCAUUGUGCUCUUGUACCUAGAAUAAUUAGAGCAUUUGUGCCAGAAAUUCCAGUCACCUGAAAAAUUCAAGCGGUAGAAAAGAAAACAAACAAAAAAGGCAACUAAUGUACCAUUUUGCUUGUUAGAGUAAUAUGUUGGGAUUUUUUUUAUUGUAAACAGCACCUUAUCCACCAACUUAUUUUGAUGUCAAAAGGAACCCAAACAAGAUGAAUCCUGGAUAACAUCCUCUUUGGGGCAGAGGCGGGAUAUUGUACACCAAAGUUCAAACAUUGAAACAUAGCAAUUGCAAAGUGUAAAAAUCCAGAUUACCCUCACUACACAUGCUAAAUAAAUUCACUACAUAAUUAUUUAUCAGUGUAUUUAGUUGGGCUAGUAGCUUAGAUUCAUGCCAAAGUUUGAGUACCGAUUAAGGUUUCUCACACAUGACAAAGGCAGAGAAUUGGCAGUGGGCGUCUUCAAAAGAUUGUCAUUCGUUCAACAAAUCACUGUCGCUUGUUCACACUUUUGUGCCAUGCUCGCCUCUUUCACCUUCUACAUUGUCUCACUUAAUUCCCGACUGCAAGGAAGAAGAAAAAAACUGUCAUAAGGUGCUACAUAGAAAUUUUUAAUCUCUAGUUACAAACAACUGUGGUAGAACUUAAAUUACGCACAUAUAGUCAUAAUUCUUCUUCAUGUGAUAGAAAGUAUGCAAAAUAAUGAGCUAGCCAAAAGAAAGAAAUAUUUUUUUAUCAGAAACAGGUAUAAAACCAAGUUGGGUUGUUCAUCUUUACUACUCUAUUAAGAGUACAACGAAGGCGUCCACACCCCUUGCCCCCGCCUACUGCCGCCCGCGCGCCCCGCCUGCUCGCCCACAGGGCGAGGCAACGCCUCCGCCCCGACGCCCUCGUCUUACCCAUCAGCCGUGCAAUACCCACCCCCAGCCUUCGACCCAACAGAUGACGUGCGGCCGCCGCGCUGCGGCCGCCGCGCCCCGCCCGCUCGCGGCGCAUGCCCCUUGCCCCGCGUGCGUCGUCUCCCGUCACACCACCCCCUCGACCGCCUCGACGUCGGCGCGAGGCUCCAGGCCAUCGGGGACGAAUCCGGGCCAGGGCUCCCGAGCAGGCCACGGUCUACGACGAUGCCUACGAUCCCUGGACCCUGGAUGACACCGACGUGUGAGGUCCUACCCUGCCCCCACCCGCGUGUGUCGUCUCCCCUUGUGAACUUGUGAUCUAUUUUGUUUAGAUACUCUAUGAUUUGAAUUUUCCCUCUUUUUUUGUUAUUUGUCUUCCUUAACUAUAAUGAUUGUGAUAAACUUUAUUGUUGUGGAAUUUCUCAUCUAUGUUACAAGAUAGAUAUUCACCACUUUGAGGUCUGAAAUAAAACAUAAUAGCACUCCUAGGCUCACUUUGAGGUCUUAAAUAAAACAUAAUAGCACUCUUACAUGAUUACCACAUAGCUAUUUACCACUUUGAGGUUUGCAGGUCUCAGGCUCACUUUGAGAGGCUAGCAGAUUUGCUUACUUCAGAUAUUUUGAAGCCUUGUACCAAGCCAUCAAGGAGUAGGGUUGCAUCGGUCUUACUGCCAAUGAUGAUCCAUACAAUGCUAAUGAAAUGAGCCCAAGUGACCAAAGACAAAACCAUGUUUCAACAUCGAGAAAAAAGCCUAUUUCCCUCCCAAAAAGUGACAUAUGUCCCAAAAACCAUGUCUCCACUUUUCCCUCUUAUUGGUUGAUGCCUGACAUAUGUCCUGUUCAAACACAGUUUAUCACAUUUUUCCAUGCACAAAAAAUUAUUUUUCAAGAAAGAGACUAAGAGAGAAUGACGAUGAUAUGAUCCCAAGUCUUAAUUCAUGGUUCACCUGUAGUUCAACAAAUGACAAUGCAACAACUAACAGAGGGACAAUGCAACAACAAUUAGUGGGAGCCAGUUUCUCAUCCUAAAUUAUGUUGAGCACUAUUGAAGAAAAACGAAAAGUAUCAUAGUAAUCUGUCUAAAGCCAAUAAUAUAGUAAAAAAUGACAGUAAAGAAAUAUGGAUAGUGAAACAAAAAAAUGUUAGCGUUAUACACCCUCCUCCUAAUUAUAAGUCGUUUUAGCUUUUCUAGAUACAUAAAGGACUUAUAGUUUGGGCUGCAACAGGAGAGUGUAUAGCAAAAAAUAUCAAUAUUGUGCAACACAUGUAGAUACAACAUUAGGAAUCUUAUAUAAACUGACCAACAAAUUGUAAGAUGCAAGACCAGAGCGAUCCAUGGACAAAUGAAGGAGAGUCAAAAUAUUGAAUUAAUAUGAGUUAGUCUCAUUUAAUAGAUCUUUGACGGACUAAAGACUAAAACAGUUUAGUCCCUGUUUUAUUGCAACUUAUUUGCCAAUUUAGCUACUAAAUAAAACUAAAAUGAAUGAAUUAAUUUUUAGUCCCUAAAACCAAACGGAACGUGGAAUACUGCUAUUAAGAUCUCCAUCAUGAUCGUGACAAAGGUAAGAGCUGUGGUUGAGAAGAGCUUGAACUUUGUCGUGGUUCAGUUUGAUUUUUAACUUUUUCGUGCAGAAUACUCGAG